This 1012-nucleotide ribosomal RNA is filed under the name uncultured Actinomycetales bacterium. RNAcentral's name for it is "bacterial SSU rRNA". It matches the Rfam family "Bacterial small subunit ribosomal RNA", at positions 55 to 1084 of the family's 1533-position model. The record is from RNAcentral. Lineage: Bacteria; Bacillati; Actinomycetota; Actinomycetes; Actinomycetales.
AUGCAAGUCGAGCGAUGAACUACUUCGGUAGUGAAUUAGCGGCGAACGCGUUAGGAACACGUGAGGAAUCUGCCUUCAACACUGGGAUAACUCCGGGAAACCGGGGCUAAUACCGGAUACGAGCCUUGAUCGCAUGAUCGAGGCUGGAAAGUUUUUCGGUUGAAGAUGACCUCGCGGCCUAUCAGCUUGUUGGUGAGGUAAUGGCUCACCAAGGCGACGACGGGUAGCCGGCCUGAGAGGGCGACCGGCCACACUGGGACUGAGACACGGCCCAGACUCCUACGGGAGGCAGCAGUGGGGAAUAUUGGGCAAUGGAGGAAACUCUGACCCAGCGACGCCGCGUGCGGGAUGAAGGCCUUCGGGUUGUAAACCGCUUUCAGUAGGGAAGAAGCGAAAGUGACGGUACCUACAGAAGAAGCACCGGCUAACUAUGUGCCAGCAGCCGCGGUAAUACAUAGGGUGCAAGCGUUGUCCGGAAUUAUUGGGCGUAAAGAGCUCGUAGGUGGUUUGAUACGUCGGGUGUGAAAUUCAGGGGCUCAACCCCUGACCUGCAUUCGAUACGGUCAAGCUAGAGUUUGGUAGGGGAGACUGGAAUUCCUGGUGUAGCGGUGGAAUGCGCAGAUAUCAGGAGGAACACCGAUGGCGAAGGCAGGUCUCUGGGCCAAUACUGACACUGAGGAGCGAAAGCGUGGGGAGCGAACAGGAUUAGAUACCCUGGUAGUCCACGCCGUAAACGGUGGGCGCUAGUUGUGCGAACCUUCCACGGUUUGUGCGACGCAGCUAACGCAUUAAGCGCCCCGCCUGGGGAGUACGAUCGCAAGAUUAAAACUCAAAGGAGUUGACGGGGCCCCGCACAAGCAGCGGAGCAUGCGGCUUAAUUCGACGNCACGCGAAGAACCUUACUAGGGCUUGACAUAUACAGGAAUACGGCAGAAAUGUCGUAGCGGUUAAACGUCUGUAUACAGGUGGCGCAUGGUUGUCGUCAGCUCGUGUCGUGAGAUGUUGGGUUAAG